CAAGUAAAUCGGAUAGUCGCAGAUUUAUUAUCUGAGGAAAGUCGGAGCUCCGCAGGGCAGGGUGCUGGAUAACGUCCAGUGGGGGCGACCCUAAGGCAAGUGCCACAGAAACAAACCGCCUGGCAGAGUCAGGUAAGGGUGGAACGGUGAGGUAAGAGCUCACCAGCGUUUAGGCGACUAAACGGCUCGGUAAACCCCACCCGGAGCAAGACCAAAUAGAGGAACAAAGAGUUGCCCGCUCUGUUCCCGGGUAAGGUCGCUAGAGGUGUCAGGCAACUGGCAUCCCAGAUAGAUGACUAUCUAAUACAGAACUCCGCUUACAGAUUUGCUUGCUAC
This 336-nucleotide RNase P RNA is filed under the name Bacillota bacterium. Its description in RNAcentral is "RNase P RNA component class A". It matches the Rfam family "Bacterial RNase P class A". Rfam says of the family: Ribonuclease P (RNase P) is a ubiquitous endoribonuclease, found in archaea, bacteria and eukarya as well as chloroplasts and mitochondria. Its best characterised activity is the generation of mature 5'-ends of tRNAs by cleaving the 5'-leader elements of precursor-tRNAs. Cellular RNase Ps are ribonucleoproteins. The record is from RNAcentral. RNAcentral also lists the same sequence under 2 other names. Lineage: Bacteria; Bacillati; Bacillota.